AUCUACAGCCAUACCACCCUGAAUGCGCCUGAUCUCGUCUGAUCUCGGAAGCUUAGCAGGGUCUGGCCGUUUAGUACUUGGAUGGGAGACCGCCUGGGAACACCGGGCGCUGAAGGCU
Molecule: ribosomal RNA, 118 nt
Organism: Cercocebus atys (sooty mangabey)
Lineage: Eukaryota; Metazoa; Chordata; Mammalia; Primates; Cercopithecidae
Source: Ensembl